ACAGGGACGUGCAUGAAAUUUGGUGCCGUGACUCGAUCGGGGGACCUCCCUUGGGAGAUCAAUCCCCUGUCCUCCUGUUCUUUGCUCCAUGAGAAAGAUCCACCUACGACCUCAGGUCCUCAGACCGACCAGCCCAAGGAACAUCUCACCAAUUUUAAUCAGGUAAGCGGCCUCUUCUUACUCUCUUCUCCAACCUCUCCCACUGUCCCUCAACCACUUUCUCCUUUCCACUCUUCAAUCUCUCCCUUCUCUUAAUUUCAAUUCCUUUCAUUUUAUGGGAGAGACAAAGGAGACACGUUUUAUCCGUGGCCCCAAAACUCCAGCGCCGGUCACGGACUGGGAAGGCAGCCUUCCCUUGGUGUUUAAUCCUUAACCCACAAGUGUAAGAUACCUCUACUCCCUCCUUGGUGACCGAUCAUGCACCCCUUACCAUGUCAUUAAAACC
This 445-nucleotide long non-coding RNA is filed under the name Homo sapiens (human). Its description in RNAcentral is "HSALNT0128589". Lineage: Eukaryota; Metazoa; Chordata; Mammalia; Primates; Hominidae. The record is from RNAcentral.